CAUUCUUCAACCUAACAAAAAAAACCACAGCAACAAAAAAGAAAACCAUACAAACAAAUCCUAAAAGACUCUCUUUACAACGUAAAGAGCAAAAACCCCAACAGCAAAACGUGUAGUAAUAAGGCAAAAACACGGUAGGGAAGGAAGGUUGUUAAUAUAUACAUAUAAAAGUUAUAACGGAAGAAAGGUCGAACGAUUCAAAAAAACCCAACGAUGGCUAUGAUGUUACGGUCGCUCGCUAGGCCGCUUGAACGUUGCCUUGGGUUAAGGGCCGGUGGGGAUGGUCUCAUGUGGCACACUGAUCUUAAACCUCAUGCUUCGGGCGAGUACUCAAUCGCCGUCGUUCAAGCCAAUAAAAACCUUGAAGAUCAAGGCCAAGUCUUUACAUCUCCUUUAGGUACCUAUGUUGGUGUUUAUGAUGGUCAUGGCGGACCCGAAGCUUCCAGAUUUGUAAACAAGCAUCUUUUCCCAUUUCUCCACAGUAAUUGUUCUUUGACCCUUUUAAUCUUUUUCUUAAUUAUUUUUCUGGGUUUUUUUUUAGAUUAUCUGAAAUGGGGUUUUCUUUGCGUCUAAUUUUUCAAGAUUCAAAUAUUCUUUUGUGUUUUAAUGGUCAAAGAGAAUUUUGGGUUUUUGUCAGUUAAUGAUAUUUUGAACAACUUACAAAGUGUCUAUCAUGCACGUUUAUUUAGUUAUUAUUUGUGUAUCUGAAUGAAUAUGAAUUACUUUGUCUAAAUAUAAAUCUUUAUGCGUUUGAAAUUGGAAUUUGGUUCUCAAGAUUCUAAAACCAUUCAGUUUAAUUUCAAUUUUUGGCACCUUUCACCUCCUUGCUUUAUUGGGUUUUGUCAGUGAAUGGUUGUGUUCUUGUUUUAAUUUUUCUGUCUUAAUUGUAGAAUUUGCUACAGAGCAAGGGGGAUUAUCUGCAGACGUGAUAAAGAAGGCGUUCAAUGCUACUGAAGAAGAGUUUUUACAUUUGGUGAAGCAAUCAUUGCCCGUAAGGCCUCAAAUUGCUUCAGUUGGAUCAUGUUGCCUUGUUGGUGCGAUAUCCAACGAUGUGUUGUAUGUGGCGAAUCUCGGCGACUCGAGAGCAGUUCUUGGCAAAAGAGUUUCGGAGGAUAAGAAAAACAAGGUUGUGGCAGAGAGGCUAUCAACAGAUCACAAUGUUGGAGUUGAGGAAGUGAGGAAAGAGGUUGAGGCUCUUCAUCCUGAUGAUUCGCAUGUCGUGGUUUACACUCGCGGAGUUUGGAGGAUUAAGGGCAUAAUCCAGGUACUUAACAAAAUCUAUUGGCAAACCCAAUUAUAAGAGUUUUAAGUUGAAUCAGACAGGUUGAAGAACAGUUCAUGUUUUGGUUCAAUGAAUUCGAUGGAUAUACAUGUUUCUUUCCAUCAAUUGCUUGUAUGUUUGUAGAAAAGGUAUAUUUACAAAACAAAUAAACAUUGUGCAUCCUCUGAAUCAUAAUGCUAAGCUUAUGUGACUAUAUGGAGUCUUCUCUCUUUUCUUUUUCGGGUUUUUUGGGUUCCUUUUGUUGAUUUCUUUCCCCUUUAACUUCAGCAGUUAAAUGGUUCUCUGUAAUGGAUAAUGUUGGUCUAAGCAUUGAACUUGUUUCUUUAUUCAGGUGUCAAGAUCUAUCGGUGAUGUUUACUUGAAGAAACCCGAUUUUUAUAGAGAUCCAAUCUUUCAACGAUUCGGAAACCCUGUUCCCCUUAAAAGACCAGUUAUCACGGCAGAACCCUCCAUCCUUAUUAGAAAGCUUAAGCCCCAAGACUUAUUUCUGAUAUUUGCAUCAGAUGGCCUAUGGGAACAGUUGAGCGAUGAAACCGCGGUAGACAUUGUUUUCAGAAACCCCCGAGCUGUGAGUAUUUACCUUUGUCUUAUUGGUUAAUUUAGUCUUCAUUAGCAGCUGGACCGAAUGACAGAGUAUUGAUUUUAAGUUUGCUUGUAUUACUUGCAGGGUAUUGCUAAGAGACUGGUAAGUGCCGCACUUAGAGAAGUUGCAAAGAAAAGAGAGAUGAGAUACGGCGAUAUUAAGAAAAUCGAGAAGGGAAUAAGACGGCAUUUCCAUGACGAUAUAACCGUGAUCGUCAUUUACCUAGAUCAACACCGAGGCUCUUCACAUAACAUAGUUAAACAUAAUGCCAUGGGGUGCACGACGGCGCCAGUCGACAUCUAUUCAUACAAUGCAGAUGAAGGAUAUGAAGGAGAUUUACUUCAAACAGUUUCUUGAAUACACAACAGAAUGAGUUAAUAUUAGGUUUAGCACACUGACUUUUUAUUCUUUUUCAAGUCUUAUUCAUGUAUAGAGAAACCAAAUGAUGGGGUGGGAUUGGUUCUUAAACCAAUGUUUCAUUGGGAGAAAAAUCGAGAGUUUGGAAGGUAAUUUUAGUCACCUCAGACGGAUUCCGACACAGGCGGCUAUAGGUGUUCCGGUUGAAGUUCUAACGGUUACCGAAAAGGCUACAUUGUUUUAUUGGUUUAUUAAAUUCAUUGCUUAUAUUAUAUUUAAUUCGAAGUGAGUAACUAAAGACAAUUAAUUACGUUAUUAAUUUUUCUUGUCAAUUAUACAUAAUUUUGAUUGGUGUAAUAACAAAUUUAACCCUUAAUAUUUAUAUAUUUUGUGCAAAUGUUGACAGAAUAUGUAAAUGUUGUAGGUUAAUUUCGUUAAAUCGUGAUUAAAUUGACAGAACAUGUAAGUGUUAUGGGUUAAAUUUGUUAAAUCAAUGUUAAAUUGACAAGAAGUAUAAACUUUAAGGGCGAAUUUUGUUACUAUACCGAUAGAAAAAGUAUAAUUGAUGAAAAAAUAUUGAUGUUAUGAUUAAUGGUCAUUAGUUGCUCACUUUUAAAAUCGACAAGAUUAAAUUGUUAUAGUUUUUUUGAGAGGGACCAAUUUGUUCAAAAUGAAAAUUGAGAAGAAUCAAAAUGUCAUUGUACCUGGUUCUUAUACAUACCAUAUCUAAGUUGUGAAUUUAGUUUUUGUACAUUAAUUUACUCAAUUUCAGUCUCUUUACUUUUUAAAUUUAAAAUUUUAGUUAUGAUUUAGAUUGUAAAUUAAAUUCGUUUCAUUCUAUUAUGUUAUUAGUCUUAUACUAUUAUUACAGUUGUGAAUUUAAUUCAUGUUUUUUAAUUUUAUCAUUUUUAGUCGUUAUACUUUUCAAAUUUUAAUGCAAACGAAAAUAGUUAAAUCCAUUAAACGUAGGUUUUCUAUGUGUGCAAUAUAUGAAAAUAGCAAAUUGCAACUAUUAUUUGAUCGAGACUAAAAUUGAAUAAUACAAAAAAUACAAAAAUUAAAAUUAAAUAAAUUAAAAGAUAGAUAUUAAACUCACAAUUUAUUCAUAUACAUAAACUAAUAACAUAAUUCUUAAUACUCUUAAAUUAAAAACAACACUUAAUAAACUACGAGAGUUAGGUGAGAUGACAAAUAUCUCUCCUAUAUUAACCAGUGGUUGAAAGUUUGAUCCUCGCAUUGGGUAUAGAAUAACUUUAAAAACUCGUAGUCGGCAUCUAUUAUUUUAAUAGACCUAAAAAUGCGGAGAAUUAAUUACUGAACUCGCUCUAAGCAUGACAUAACACGACAAAGUUGGCUUGUAAUUUGUAUAUCUAAACCAAAAGGGAAAAAAUGUUUUGCGAGACAAAUUCCUUAAACUGAAAGACAUGGGAAUUUUGGCAACUAGAUAGCAAUAACCAAACUUGUUAGGUGAAACGAACCAAACUAAAGCACAAAACGACAAUCAGUUGCGCUAAAGUUAGGAUGUCUUGUCACUUUUAAAUUUUUAUUAUACAACUUGCUUCACUAAACAAAUACUAUUUAAUGAACUUUUUAAUAUUCUUACUCUACUUUUCAAUAAUUCAUAAAGCUAAUAAAUAUAUUAUAUUCUUUCAAAUUACUUUUCUUUAAAUUAUUUUUUCUUUAUUUUAAUUGAAAAUUUUUAUUGUAUUAAUUGCAUAAAAAUACUCAAAAUUUUAAUUUAUUCUUUAAUUUCGAAAUAUGUUUAAACGUUAAAACGUUAAUUUUGAUAUGAUGUAAAGUACAUUUAAAAUGCCCGAAUUAAAUUGUAAAUUUAUGUAUACUUACAUCAUUAAUAACUUGGAUCUUACGUAUUAAAAAAAUAGUGUUAAUAAAUUUUAGGAGGGUUAACACUUUUAACUGUUAGAACGAUUUUUUUAAGUAGAAAUCAUGUUGGUACUCUAACUAGAAUGGUUAUACUUUAGUUACUUGGGUUAACUGUUAAUAUUAUAAAAAGUAGAAGAUUAAAUUACAUUAAAUAAAAUUAUGGAGAUUAAAUUUUAAAUUUGAGCACAAUAAAGGGACCAAAACUAUAAUUUAACUCUUUUUAAAUUCAAUAUUUUGUUGAAGGAUUAAAUUGGGGUUGAACUUGAAACCUACUUCUAUAUUGGGGCUUGAACUUUUUUUUUGUCUAAGUUGCUCCCUAAACUUAGCAAUUUUUCUCAUAUUGAAGUUUGAACUAGGCCAUUGUUCUAAGGGGCGAAGCCAAAAUUUUUUUUUUUGGGAGUUGGAAUUAAAUUGUAUAUUUUUAUGGUAGUAAGAAUGUAAUUUUACCAUUUUAAUAGCCUAUGUCAUUAUAAUUUUAAAGGAUUAAAUCAAUUUUGUAUUAUUUAAGAGGUUAAAGUUCAAAUUUAUCAUUACUAAUUUAAAAUUUUAUAAAUUAUAAAAAGUUUAAAUAGAAAAUUUUUCAUUUUAGGGGGAACUGGGGGCCUUGCCAACCUCUCUGGCUUUGCCAUUGAUUGUUUCCAUAUUGGAGCUAAACUUGACAAUUGUUCCUACAUUGAUGCCUAAGUUUUAGGGUUUUCAAAGAAACAUCAUGGAUUAAUUUGGAUCAAAAAAGGUUCAAGCCCCAAUAUAAAAACAAUUACCACAAAAAAAUUCAGGUCUCAAUAUGAAAAUAAUUACCAAUUUCAGGCCCAAAAAGGUGAUUUAACCCUUUGCCCAACCCCAUUCAAGUUACCAAACGAGAGGAAAAUAACAAAUUCCUAGAAAAUCUACAAUUUUGUGCGCUAAAAAAGAAAAUACAAAUAGUCGUUUCAGUAUAAUUUUCUCGGAAAAUAACCAAAACCCAGUCCUUUAAGCUUCAACAUCCAAAGAAAAAAGAAUGACUGCAAGUCAUUUGGUUGCUGAAUCCGUGUGGAAAACAAUAGAGUCAACUCAUUCAGGUCUUUCUUUUUUUCCCCCCUUAUUUAUUCUUUCUAUGUAGAAACUAAAUUCCAUCUUCUUCUUUUUUCCUUUUUUAAAUCCCUAAAUUUUGUGAUCUUAUGACCCAAAUUGGCCAGUAAAUGAAGAGCAACUAUCAAUGUAAGCAAUACUCAUUUUCUUUUAAAUCUUUUAUUCUUGGGCUUUUUAAAAUAAAAAUAAAAAUAAAAAUGGUGGGUAUUGAUUAAUUUUGAAUUUUCUUUUAUUGUAGCUUGCAUUUUCUGUUUGGUAAAAACUUCGAGAGAGCAACAAGGAUAGUUGACCAAAGGGGUGUCAAGAAAAUCUCCGGUGAACCCAGCGGUCGUUUUAUCUUUCAGGUUCAUUCUCUUUGUUGCUAUCUCAAUUUUUGAAUAUUGGUCGAAUUCUCCUAUUAGUCCAUGCACUCUGCAUAAAUUGCAGAUUUAAUCCAUGUUCCUCGAUUUAAUGUUUUUAAUGAUUUGUUUUUCAAAUUGUAAUUUUAGUAUCAUGUUAUAUCUAUUUAAUUUAAUUAUUUUAUUUCAGUUAAUAAAUUUCACUGCUAUUGGAUAUAAGAAUAAAAAUGAUAAAAUUUUAGAACAAAUAUUAAAUCUAUAAGGUUAGGACAGAAAAAUCCAAAUAUUAUAAAAUUAAAAUUGACCAAAUUAAAAUAUGUAGACUAAAUCUGUAAUUUAGACUUAGUAUAUAUACUAAGGGAAGAAUUUGUCAUAGAAUAUUUGGACGAGUUGUCGGCUACCUUAUGUGUAAAAUAUGGUCAUUUUGGCAAAUAUUCCAUUUUAAGAACUUUCCUGGAAACUUUUCUGAAACUGUGAGCCUUGAGAUAAAACCCGAAGCAGAAUUGAGACACAUCAGUAUAUAUCCAUUUGUAUAUCUCAAUAUAUAUAUAUAACAUACGCCUGUCUAGUUAGAAUAUUUGGACAAGUUGUCGGCCACCUUAUCUGUAAAAUGUGAUCAUUUUGGCAAAUAUUCCAUAUUUAAGAACUUUCCUGGAAAAUUUCUGAAACUAUGACCCAUCAAGGCUCUUGGCAGAAUCGUGAGAUAAAACCUGAAGCAGAAUUGAGACACAUCAAUAUAUAUAUCCAUUUGUAUAUCUCAAUAUAUAUAUACAGACGCAUGUGUAGUUAGAAUAUUUGGACAAGUUGUCCUCUACCUUUUCUGUAAAAUGUGAUCAUUUUAGCAAAUAUUCCAUCUUAAGAACUUUCCUGGAAAUUUUUCUUAACUAUGACCCAUCAAGGCUCUUAGCAGAAUGGUGAGAUAAAACCCGAAGCAGAAUUGCGACACUUCAAUAUGUAUCCAAUUGUAUAUCUCAAUAUAUAUAUAUACAUAGGCAUGUCUAGUUAGACUAUUUGGACAAGUUGUCAUCUACCUUAUCUGUAAAAUGUGAUUAUUUUAGCAAAUAUUCCAUCUUAAGAACUUUCCUGGAAAAUUUUCUGAAACUAUGACCCAUCAAGACUCUUAGCAGAGUCGUGAGAUAGAACCCGAAGCAGAGUUGAGACACAUCAAUAUAUAUAUCCAUUUGUUAUAUAUAUACAUACGCAUGUCUAGUUAGAAUAUUUGGUCAAGUUGUCAUCUACCUUAUCUGUAAAAUGUGAUCAUUUUAGCAAAUAUUCCAUCUUAAGAACUUUGCUGGAAAAUUUUCUGAAACUAUGACCCAUCAAGGCUCUUAGCAGAGUCGUGAGAUAAAACCCAAAGCAGAAUUGAGCCACAUCAAUAUAUAUAUAUCCAUUUGUAUAUCUCAAUAUAUAUAUACAUACGCGUGUCUAGUUAGAAUUUUGGACAAGUUGUCAUCAACCUUAUCUGUAAAAUGUGAUCAUUUUAGCAAAUAUUCCAUCUUAAGAACUUUCCUGGAAAUUUUUCUGAAACUUUUUUUUCCCAUUGUUUGGUGCUUUAGGUUGUGGGAGAAUCUAGAAGAAAAGAAGAAUAUUUCUGUUUUGCUGAACAUUAUUGUGCUUGUUAUUCAUUCUUUUAUGAUGUAAUUAACAGAGCAGAACAGCUUUGUGUAAGAUUUCUUUAUUCCUUUAUUCCCCUUAUUUUAUUGCAUUUAAUAUAUAGGUAAAAUUUUUGAAAUUGAGCAAAUUGGUCCCUCUAAAAAAUUAUAGCAAUUUAUCUUUGUCAAUUCCAAAAGUGAGCAACUAAAAAUAAUUAAUCAAGACGUUGAUAUCAUUUGUCAAUUGUACAUAGUUUUGAUUGGUAUAAUAACAAAUUUAGCCUUGUUAUUUACAUGUUUAUACAAAUAUUGAGUUGCAUUUAUUAAAUCAGGACAAAAUUGAAAGAAUAUGUAACUUUGAGAGCUAAAUUAUUUAUUAUACCAAUCAAAUUUAUGUACAAUUGAUGAUCAAAAUAUUAAUGUUGUGAUUAAUUAUUCUUAGUUGCUCACUUUUGAAUUAAAACGGAUUAAAUUACUUCAAAUUUUUUAGAGGAUUCAAUAUGCUCAAUUUACUUAAAUUUUUUUAGAGGAUUCAAUAUGUUCAAUUUUAAAAUUAAAAGGGAUUAAAUUACUUUAAUUUUUUUAGAAGAUUCAAUAUGCUCAAUUUCAAAAUUGAGAGGGACUCACCUAUAUAUAUUUGCUGUAUUUUCAUAUUUUGUUUUGCUUUUGUGUAGUGUAAGCAUCAAUUAGCUGCAAGGCUUGCUGGAUCAUUGGGAGCUUGUAUUGAAGUUAAAGUGUCUGAUGAACAGCUAGCUGUAUUACUUUCUGAGCUCUAAAUUUUUGUAGUAAAAUCGUAGCGGGUCGGAUCCGAAAUUUAAUCUAGUUGGUUCAUGCAGUUACAUUUAAAGAAAUGACAUUCAAUAAAUAUGAUUCAAUUUUUGAUAAAUAAAAAUAUUGUUUGUAUGUUUAACAACAAAAAGAAUGAACAAAUUAUAAUCAUCAAAUCAAGGAACAAUAUUGUGAGUUUUCAUCUUUUUAAUCCAUGAAUUGAACGACGUUUUCGAGUUUCGGAACCCGACAAAUCCAUGUUCUUUGCUCUUGUUCAUGCUAUCCAACAGUGACUUCCCCGAAAGCACCGAAUCAACGAACUGCCAUGCUCCGGCAUUGCUCAAUUUCAUCGGCAAAAGACCGUUCUCCCUCACGAUGUUGUCCCACACCGGACCUUUGUCUUUCAUCAUUUCAACCAAGCUUGGCACCUUCUCUUCGGUUUCUUGAAAUCCGUAGUGUUCGAUACCGAACUGGUCAGCUAACACUUUCCAUAAGUCCUUCCACUUAAACACAUCUCCAUUGCUACAAUUAAAGGCUUCGUUUUUCGCUCGCCGGCUCAUUGCUGCCCAUAUUUGAUGUUCUGCAAUCAAAUCCGCAUCCGAUGCAUCCCAGUACCCUUCCCACGCUUGUCGGUUCCCCGGAAACCUCAACGGCUCGCUUUCAUGCUUACAUAUCGACGCGUAAAUGCAUAAACUCCGAACUAUAUUCAUCGAACUAAACGGAGAAAACCCAAAAACCAAUCCCGGCCUAUGAACAGACCAUGUCAAGUUCUCCUUCUGCUUCACUUCUUCCAACAAAACAUCCUCGAGCGUAUAACACAAGUUUGACGACUUAAGCCUCGGAAGAUCCUCGCGAAAAGGAGGAUCAUGGGGCUGAACAUGAUAUUUUCCGUACAAAUCAAUCGGACCGGUGUAAUGCCGACGACCGGUUUGCAAGCAUAUAUGUUUCAACUUGGGUGAAUUCGGGAUUACCGCUUUCAACACGUUCCGUAACAUAGUACCAUUGAUAACGCAGUUUUCAUCUUCAGUUGAUCUCUUAUCCCAUGCAACAUAAAACACAUGAGUCACAUCGUUAAGCUUUGAUAAUUUAUCACAUGUUUCUUCUUCAUCUAAAACAUCGCAUUGUAUGUACUCAAUAGGCAAAUGACUAGUCGAGGCUGGUCGAGGCUGACGAGCAACACCGUAGACCUUCCACGGUCCGCCGGGAAUACCGGAGAACGGAAGAAUCUCGGCGAGACUGUUACCGACUAUGCCGGUGAUGCCAAUGACCAAAGCAACACUCUUGUACUUGGAUUGUUUAUCAUGUUCUUCCAUUUUCUUCUGUAAAAAAAAAAAAAAUCUGGGUUCAUUAGAUUAAAUGCAGAGAAAGAGAACCCAAAAAAAUGAAUGAGCAUUAACGUACCUUGGCAGCACCAAUGGCUCCUGCCCACCACCAACUCAUUGUAUGUUUUUCUUUUGCUGUUAAUGAAAAAAAAUGCUGAAUUACAUCCUUAAACUUUGUCUGCAAUGUUUUUAUAGUGAUCCGCUUUGAUAAAAGUGACGUCUGGGAAUUUAAAAAAGGAAAAAAAAACCAAUCUUAUCUAUUUACAUGUAUCAACUACAGCUCAACAAGAACUUGUUAUCAAUUUGAUUUCUUUAUAAUAAUAAUAAUAAUAAUAAUUUUAGUUGGGAUAAAUUACAAGAAUAGUCACUCUUGUUUGUCUUAGAUUAUAUUUUAGUCAAUUAUGUUAUCGUUUUGUUACGAAGUGGUCACUCUACCGCUAAACUCCGUUACCUCCCUAGCGGUAGUUCUACGUGACAGUUAAAAUUAAAUUUAUUUAAUUAAAAACAUAUUUUCAUCCCAGUAGCUGGACAUCCAAGUUGGCAUUUAAAACAUGUUUGGAUUGCUACGUAGGACAAUCGUUAGGGAGGUAACGGAGCUUAACGGUAGAGCGACCAUUUCAUAACAAAAUGAUAACAUAUGUGACUAAAAUAUAACAUUUUAAACAUAAAUGAUUAAAAUGUAAUAUGAUUCAAACAAAAGUAACUAUUUUUAUAGUUUACCAUUUUAUUUUUAAUUUGUUUGAAUAAACAUGGAUACAACACAUAUAUUUUAUAUAAAAUAAUUUAAGUGGCGGAAUUUUUUAAAAGAAAAUCAGAAAGGACGUGGAAAAUGGGUUAAUUGGUGAAUAUGUGUAAAUCCUUCAAUAAUUGAAUUGGUCAGCCAACACUUAAAGACUAAGGAUUAGACAGCUAGUAAACACAUCAGCAUAUAAUCAAGCUUGCGUGGAGAACCUAGCGUGUAAGGAAACAAUACAUCCUUAUCUAUUCACUAAAUCUUCUAAUGCUAUGAAAAAAAAGGAUAGAAUUUUGUGAAUUUUAUAAUUGGAAAGUUUAAGGAUAGGAAAUUAAUAUGAAAUUUGGCUUUUUUGUUUUUUUAAUUUGUAUUCCAAGUUAGUUUUUUACUAUUUAAGUCAAACAUUUCUAUUGGGUAUUGUUAAAUUAACAUGAGUAUUAUUGUUAAUAUAGAGGAAUGUGUGUUUGAGUGCGUUGAAGUGUUAGGUCUGUUCUUGACGUUUUUGGGCCUUAACAAAACAAUAAAAUGGGUUUCAAGUUCCUUAAAAGUUGAAGAAAAAAAAUUUGGUCCCUAAAAGUUGGUAAAAAAAAUUUGGCCUUUAAAAGUUAAAAAUAAGAAUUUUGGGCCCCUUAACAAUUGGAGAAUAAUAUUUUAGACCCCUUUCAGCCUUGGGCUCUGGGAAGCCGCACCUCUAGACGACCUCUAGAGCCAGGCCUGUGAAGCGCAUUAUCCUCUUAUUUAUGGGUUGGAGUAUAAUCAGAACCUAUAAUGAGAUUGUUAAAAAAAAUUUUAAAACAAAAAAGUUUUAAGAUGGAUUGUGAAUUUAAGGUUUUUUUUUAAUGGUUACAAGUUGCUUGGAAACAAAAUAUUAGUAAAUCAGAAUAGAAAAAUAAAUAAAUAAAUAAAUUGAAAACAAUUAGUCUCUCGAUAUGAUAAAUUAAUUUUGUUUAACAUUCGUUGUAACGACGGUUAGAAAGAAAACAAGCAGCGAAAAAAAUAAAAGAAGAAAAGAAUUGACACAACCGAUCUUUGUUAAUACAGUUUAGACACAGUGGUCCUAUAUUUGCGGAGCCUCUCCCAGUGAAUGAUUUUAUUCAACAAUCGUUCGGAUCACCUAUUGGCUUAAGCCCGAUUACCUUUACACAAAGAAAUAAUUCAAGCUUCAAUAUUGACCCCAAUUGUCACAAAUCACUCACCCAAAUACCUCACAAUAUGAUAGACUUUAAACUCCUAUUUAAAAGUUGAAAUUAUCCCAUUAAUUAUCUUUAGUACCCCAGGGUGAAUCAAACUCAGUAUAAACGAAACCUAUUUAAGGCCCAAGUCAAUAACUUAAGUAGAGAAACAGUUUCGUUAUAAUUGGACAUAAAACAAACAGCAAUUUUCCCAACAAAAACAUAAUGGGGAGAGCGAGACUUAUUCCUAAGUUGGCAAAUGCAAUUGCUCAGCUGUUUGUUUCAUGCAAAACUUAGUUGGCAAUUAACAAAUUCAAAUAGGCUCAACAUCUUUAACCUAUGGAUAGAAUUUCUAAUGCCAAUUUGAAUUCCUUCCUUCCAAGAAAUCCUUCAACAUUUUUAUCUCUUUGUGCAAGCAUUAUUGUAACAAGUCCAUCUUCUUAACUUUCACUAGAGAAUCUGUGGUGAUAUGGAGUUUACAGUAAACCCUAUUCGAAUGGGGAGUAACAAUCCUCUUUUGUCCGAUGAUUCUUUUGUUUUGGGUAAGAAUUCCAAAAUUCAUUUUACAAAGAGUAAACGAAAGUUGUGUUAUUGUUUAUGGGAAUACAUGAAAGUAAUCUAGAGUCGAGCAUUUUAUACCAUUUGUCUUAUAGAAUUUUGGGUUAACUUCGUUUGGUCGGUAAAUUUGACGAUAUAUGUCAUGUUAAUCUUUCUAAAAAAGUAAAUGGUGAAUUACAUUAAUGGUUAUCUAAUUAUGAUUUUUUUUUAUCACCCAACCAUAAAAAAUUACAAAAUAGUUAGUCAAUUAUUAGUAUUUUUUUUAUCAUCCAAUUAUAAAAAAGUGACAAAAUAAUCUUCAUUUUCAUGUUAACCGACUAAUAACUAAAAAAUUAAUUGAAUAAUUAGAUGAUCAUUUUGUAAAAUUUUCAUAGUUAGGUGAUAAAUGAAACUAUAAUCUGAGUGUCCUCUAUUAUAGUUUUGAGUAUAUAAAUAAUAAAAUUGCACAUCCUAUUUGAUAUUUUUGAGCAAAAGAAAAGAAAAGAAUAAUGAACUUGGAUACAUGGUAUUAGAGCGACUUAUGAUUGCAAUUGCACAUCCUAUAUGAUAUUUUUUUAGCAAAAAAAAAAAAGAGAAAAGAAUAAUAACCUUAAAUACAUGGUAUUAGAGCGACCUAUGAUUGCAAUUCCACAUUGACUUCCCAUAGGAUGGAUCAAUAGGUACUCCAAGUCAAACUCCUAAAGUGUGCAGUAGGAGAAAAUAACAACAAAACCCAUGACAAACGCAACACGAGUUUAGAUGGAGAAGAAUAUUAAGCGAAACACUAAAAAAAUUAGAUAACAUUAUUAAUCCCAUAUCAAAAAACAAAUAAGAAAACAAGUAGACUUGUACGCUCUAGGAAAGCAUAUGACUAAUAUCACUAGGGGGGUUUAGCUAGGUACAGCUGAUGGUCCCAAGUUGAAAGGGACUCUUGAGUAUCGCUGAUGUUUUGACCUUAGUCCUAUAUAAUAGGGGCAAAACACUAUCUAUCCGGCGCGUCCACACCCAAUGAGAUAGAUUUUUGGUCACCUAGACUGAAUGGUCUAUGGACGCCUCUAAUCCAGCUGACUUAUCCUAUUUUAUACACAAAAAUGUUGAAAUCUCUAAAUAAUGAAGAGUAAACUAAAAUCAAAUAGCUUCCAUUAACAAGACAUGGGGUUAGAGCUUAGGGUUUAGAAUUAAUAAAGAAUCAUGAUUGCAAGCCAAACCUGGAUCAUUCAUAUACAUUAGAUGACAAUGAUAUCUCUAUAAGUUUUAGCAUUAAAACUAGGUUUGAGGAAACAUCAAAACAGAAAAUCCAAUUUGCAGACAUAAAAUACUUCAUUAAUUACAUUAACAAAAAGCUUAUCAAACAUUCCUUUGGAAAACAAUUUUGCAAAGACACUGUUAACUGCACAUAAUGAUUUAUAUUUGACUUGUAUAAAAGCAAUUGUACAUACCUUUUCAAGAUUUUCAAUUCCCCUCUUUCUUGUUUCAUCUGCUAUAUAAUACAAAAUUCCCCAUCAGCUACAUGCAUAGCUAAAUAGAGCUUUAGGCAUUCAAAAAGCUAAAGAACACAUGUUGGCCUCGAGGAAACACACAGAACCGUGCACAACGUCACAUUUCCACUUUCUCAGCAUGCUCGAAUUGAUGAACACAACGAACAGUGCUAACACAAUACUAAAAAGGUUUUCUUUAUGGAAGACAACUUUCUAUGACCAUUUUUCCACGACACGCUCUGAUAAUCUAAUUUCCUCAUCCUUGGAAAUAUGUGGAUCUAGCUUCUGAAGGUUGUCAAUAAAUGUCUUUGCCUCAUCACGCUGAUUGAGUUUACAAUAUCCAUCAACUAUGGAAUUGUAUGUAUUCUGGUUUGGUUUACAGCCGUGCUUGAUCAUGAAUUGGACAACAUCUAUGGCUUCCUCAAACAAGGAAUCAGCUGCAUAGCUUGCAACAAAGGUAUUGUAAGUGAUAACAUCUGGAACAAGGCCAGAAUCACCCAUUUCUGAAAAUAUCCGAGAAGCCUCUUUCAUUCGACCGUUUCUACAAUAGGCAUAAAUAACAGUGUUAUACGAGAUUAUAUCUGGUUUUAUUCCUUUUGCCUGAACUUCCCUUAAAAUUUGUUCUGAUUCCUCGAACUUUUCAGAGCGGCUAUACAUAUACAUCAAACUGUUGUAGGUCGUCAAGCUCGGAGUAUACCCACACUCAUUCAUGAAGUUCAAGAUCUCAUUUGUCUUGGAAACCAUCUGCCUCCUGCCAUAUAUUGAGAGCAUGGCAUUUAGAGUAGUUAUGUCAGGUGGAAAUCCUUUCUUCCUCAAUUCCAAGAAAGCACGCUCUGUAUCCGCAAGAAGGUCGCAUUUACUAUUAACCAAAACAAGAGUCUUUAACAGCACAGCAUGAGGUUCGAUGAUACCGGAGUAUAUCUCUUCCGCUAGGGCAUGCAUCCGAUCUACCUGCUUCCCAUUGGCAUAAACAUGAAGCAAAGAACAGUAGGUUAGCUCAUUGGGUUUGCAACGACCGUCUCUCAUUUCAGCCAGUAUUUUCUCAGACUGCUUCCAAAGCCCUCCCCGUGCCAAUGCCGCCAAAACAGCAUUAUAUGUAGAAAGGUCGGGGGUAACUCCAGCUUCCAGCAUUCUCUUAUAAAUAGCCAUGGCUUGAUCAAAAGCACCACAGCGACUGUAUGCACUAAUUAAAGUGUUGAAUGUGUCCCUUUCAGGUACAAACCCUGCCCUCUUCAUCUCCUUGAACACUCCAGACACUUCUACAUCCAUUCCAUUUUGCCCAAAUACUGCCAGUAGUGUAUUCCAAGUAACAAUAUCCGGUGCACCAUUGCAUGCCUUGAUCUCGUCAAAAAUCUUCAUCAUCUCAGUGAACUUCCCGCGGUUACCGUGCAUCUUAAUUAGAGCAUUGAAAGUGCAAAUAUUCGGCUUGCAACCAGAAGUUCUCAUCUCCUCAAAAACCGCCAUUGCAGACUCAUCUUUUCCGGCCUUGGCAAAUCCCGACAAAAGAGUGGUAUAGGUAAAAACAUCAGGCUUAAUCCCUUUUCCCUCCAUCUGUGUUUUCAAGUCCAUUGCUUCCUGCAACAGACCAUCCCUAGCAUAAGCGGAAAUCAACGAAUUAUAAGUCACAGUGCUAGGGGCAAACCCAUUAAGCUCCAUCUCUUUUAAAACCUCCAUAGCUUCCUUCGGACGCCGAGACUUACCAUAAACAUCCAACAAUGCAUUGUAAGUAACAUUAUCUGGAGUAAAACCAGCCAAUUUCAUUUCAUCGAAAACCGAAGCCGCUUCCUCAUGCAAAGACCCUCGACGACAGCUACUUAUAAGCGUAUUAUAAGUAUAAGCAUCAGGGGCAAUUCCAUCACUUUUCAUUCCAUCAAAAAGAGCCAUGACCUUACUCCAAGGCAUGCCCAUUUUACCAUACACAUUCAAAACCACAUUAUAAGUUAUCAAAGUAGGUUUACAACCCUCUUCCUCCAUUUUCUUAAAAACCACCAUGGCUUCCCUAUACCUCCCACUACCAGCAUAAGCAGUUAUCAAUGAAGUAUAAGCAUAAACAUCAAGACUAAACCCUUCUUUGUGCAAACCAUUAAACAAAUUAGCUGCAACAGAAACCCUCCCCUCUUUCCCUAACAUACUAAUAAUAAUAGCAACAACAGAGCUAUUCAACACCAAUCCACAAUCAUUUCUAGCUCUAACCCAAUUGAAAACACCCAAAGCCAAGUUAGAUUUCUUGUAAAAACCCAAAGCUUUAACAAUUCCCACCACUUCCGCAGCCAAAAAAUCAGCUUUCACAUCUGGGUUUUCUUGGUAUUGCUCAAACAACUUACUCAAAACAACAUCAAGUUGAUUAGAAUCAAAAGAAGGUUCAAUUAAGGAAUUAAGAACCUGCUGACCUUGAGCAGAGAGGUUGUUAUGAGUCCAACGCUUCCCACGGUUGACGUCACGUGACCGGCCGAGACGGUUCCGGGUCCGGACUUGUGGGUCGAUGGGUUGUUGGGACUUAGAAUUAUGUCGAAGAAGGAGGUCUUGAAAGACUGGAGUCGAGGGAGCAGGUGAAUUGGGUUGUGAAGUUGGGUUUUGUUGAGUGAAGUGAGUUUGGUUUGAUAAUGGGGUUUUAACAGGUGGGGGAUUUGGAAGGAGAAGAGGGAGAGCAAGCCUCUCUGCCAUUAAAGAGAGGAUAAGAAAGUUGCAGCCUUUGUAUCUAUGGUUGAGUUAGAAACAGAGAGGGAGAAAAAGAAAAGGGUAAUUGAUAAUUUUAGUGCGCUUUCGUUAUUACUUGCAGAGUCCACAACUUUUUUUUUUAGAAGUCUAAGGCUUAAAGGGGGACAUGACAAAGAUAUGCGGAGGAUAUUUUAGGAGGUAAAAGGGAGAUUAUAUUCUUCUGUGGUUAAGAAUGAACUAUUGAAAUACUAUGACCAAUAAAAGGUUGCCACGUAAACUCUGAAAGCGGACUCUUAAGUCAAAAUUGGUGACGUUUGCCCUCUUCAAAAUUAGUUCGAUUAGACAAAUUAUACUUAUUUAAACAUUUUCUCUUUUAUUUUUAUAUAAAAAUUAAUUUAAAGUGAAGCUUAAUAUUAUUAUAUUAAUAAUAUUUUUUAUUUUAAAAAAUAUUUAAAAUUAAUAAAAUAUUUAUAAUUUUCAAUAUUAUUAAUCAUACUUAUUUAAUUAUCUAUUUCUAAUCAUAUUAAUAACUUAUUAUUUUAAUAAUUUAUUUAAUAAUUUAAUUUUAUUUUAAAAAUAAAUUUGAAAAAUAAUAAUUUUAAAUAAUAUUCUUCAUAUAGUAUUGAAAAAUAUUCAAUGUUAAUAUUUUAAUAAUAAAUAUUUAUUACAAUUAUAAAUAUAUUACAGAUAAAUAUUUUGUAGUAUAAAUGUUAAAAUAUGUCAUAAAUAUAUAUACUCCUCACAAAUUUGAAAUUUAGUCCCUAUUCUUUUAUUUUCAAGAAUUUAAUCAUUCUACUGUUCAUAUUUAAAAAUCAAGUCCAAUUGUUAACAUUGUUAAAUUUUUUUUGUCAAUUUUGUUGAUGUCAAUUUUUAAAUAAAAAAUACUUGAUAUUCAUGUAACUAAAAGAUGACGUUACAAUUAACAUGAAUUUAACAAAAUAUUUUUAAUAAUGCUAUCAGAUGAACCUUAAUUUUGAUAUAUAAAAGGUAGGACUAACCCAAAAAUAAAAGCACAUGGACUAAAUUUCAAAUUUACGAAAAGUACAAUGACUUAUGACAUAUUUUAACCUAGUAUAAAAAUAUGAAUAUUUUAAUUAUAUAAAUUUGAAUAUUUGUUUAAGUAAUGUUUAGCUUCAUUUAUCCUUUACAACUCUAAUGUGUCAAUAUCUAUUCUCACAUAUCUAAUAUAUAUAAUUAAAAUUAAGUUUUAAUUAAGCAUUAUUUAUUAUUAAGUUUAUAUAUGACACUGAUUAUUACAAAAUAUUUUCUUAUUAUAAAAUAAAUUUCAAUUGUUAAAAGGAAAUUGCACUGUAAUAUUUUAUAACAAAUAUAUUUAUGUCAUGUUUGUUUUACAAAGAACAAUGUAAAAUAUAAAUUUAUAGAUAUAAAAUAAACUCAAUUAAACAAUGAAAAUAUAAGAAAAUCUCAUAUGUAUGUUUGUUUCAUUGAAAACAACUUUUAUGAAAUAUUUAUAGUAAAUCUGUCAAAUAACAGAAAAUAUUAAUUUUUCAAAAAAGUAAGUCAUUUUCCAGAAAUCAUUUUUCGGAAGUCAUUUUCAGUGAAACAAAUGGAACCUAAACUUGAAAAUCGUAAGUUAACUUGAUAUUUUUUUAGGCACCUAAUACUAUUAAAAUAUACUGACAUAACACUGACGAUCAAUUGGAUGGUGACACGUGAUAACCUCACAUUUUUUAUUAUAAAUAUUAUAUUUUUUUAUUUUGCCACGUGUCAAAAUAUAAGGCUAUCACGUGUCACCAUUCUAUUAGUAGUCAACGUCACAUCAGCGUAUUUUAAUGAUGUUAGUCAAGUAGCUAAAAAAACACAAAGUUGACUUAUAAUUUUUAAGUUUAGGUACCAGUCAGGGCCAAAAUUAAACUAUGUAAUUGAUAUUUAUGUCAUUAUUGUUGUUUAUUUGUGUAACUAAGAAUUGAUGACUUUAUUGUUUCAACCACUAAUUCGGUUUCCAAAAAACAUUGAUUCAAAGGAAACUAACCUAAACCGAACUAUAUAAUUGAUGUUUAUGCCAUUAUUAUAUAUGUGUUUAUAAUAACUAGAAUCGAUAACUUAACCGUUUCAACCACCUCUUCCAACUUCUAAAAAAAACAUUGGUAAAUGGAAGUUAGAUUAUUUUCAAAUCUUCAAGCUUUAUAAGUUAUUGAAUCGAGUGAUAAAAUACUUAUUAAUUCAUAAAAAGUUGAUGAAUCGUUUGAAAAGAAAGAAAAAGAAAAAGAAAAACCAAUGCUAAAAAAUGCUUGUUUCUUAUUUAGAAGUCCAAUUCAACUCAAGUUGUGUUUAGUAUUACUUUUAAGAAGUAUUUUUGAGAAAAAAAUACUUUUGAGAUAAAAACAUUAUUAAAUAAAAUGCUAAAUUGACCCGCAAUCGAUACCUGUGGGNNNNNNNNNNNNNNNNNNNNNNNNNNNNNNNNNNNNNNNNNNNNNNNNNNNNNNNNNNNNNNNNNNNNNNNNNNNNNNNNNNNNNNNNNNNNNNNNNNNNNNNNNNNNNNNNNNNNNNNNNNNNNNNNNNNNNNNNNNNNNNNNNNNNNNNNNNNNNNNNNNNNNNNNNNNNNNNNNNNNNNNNNNNNNNNNNNNNNNNNNNNNNNNNNNNNNNNNNNNNNNNNNNNNNNNNNNNNNNNNNNNNNNNNNNNNNNNNNNNNNNNNNNNNNNNNNNNNNNNNNNNNNNNNNNNNNNNNNNNNNNNNNNNNNNNNNNNNNNNNNNNNNNNNNNNNNNNNNNNNNNNNNNNNNNNNNNNNNNNNNNNNNNNNNNNNNNNNNNNNNNNNNNNNNNNNNNNNNNNNNNNNNNNNNNNNNNNNNNNNNNNNNNNNNNNNNNNNNNNNNNNNNNNNNNNNNNNNNNNNNNNNNNNNNNNNNNNNNNNNNNNNNNNNNNNNNNNNNNNNAAUAUAUCUUAAAUUUUAUUUUAUUGUAAUUUUAUAUGAAUUGAUUAUAAUUUUAAUUGACCGAAUAUAUAUCCUUUAUUAUUUAUAUUAUAUUUGUACUUGUAAUUUUUUUAAAAAUUUAAAUUAAACAUGCCCUUUUUUUAAAAAUGUAAAUAUAAAUAUUUGUUUAUAUUAUAAUGUGUUUAUAAUAAGAGUCAGAUUAUAUAUAUAUAUAUUUGUAAUAGAGUCAGAUUAUAUUUUACAUCUUCUGUUCGAAAAAAUUGGAAAAUUAAUCAACAGAUAAAAAUUAAAUCUAUUCUUAUUAUUAAAAAUUAUUUAAUUUCUGAAAAAAUUCUUAUAGGUAACCUUUUAGAUCUUUUUUAGCUGUGUUUAUUAAAAAAAAUAAAAAAAUAUAAAAGUAGUUUUUUUAGAGUAAAUGUAAAACUUUAAAAUAAUUGUAAUAUGUAAAAUUAAAAAUAUUAAACUAUUUACAACCGUCGGAUUAAAAAUGAUAUAUUUUUGAAUGAUGAUGAAGAUCGAUUCCUGAUGUAUAUAAAUACUGCCUUCUAUUCCCUUCAGUCUUCGCUUCACCCACUUUCUCAUUUCACACGGGUUGUGGCGUAGUUUAAGCAGAGAGGGUGCGCAGGAUAAAGCUAUUCACCAUUGUUUCAACAUGAAGGUUUGUAAUAAAAAUUUGUUUCUAUCAGCAUUGCUUUGCAUUGCUGUUGCAGGAGUUUUGGGUCAAGCUCCUAGUAAUCCUCCUACGUCUACGCCGGCGCCACCCACACCACCGGCUUCUACUCCUCCUCCGACGACUCAAGCACCGCCUACACCAACCGCCACUCCGCCACCGGUUUCUACUCCUCCUCCCACUUCAUCACCGCCCCCAGUGACAGCUUCUCCACCCCCAGUUUCAACUCCUCCACCCAGUUCUCCUCCUCCUGCAACUCCACCACCUGCUUCUCCUCCUCCUGCAACUCCACCUCCAGCUUCUCCACCUCCUGCCACUCCUCCACCAGCUUCUCCACCUCCCGCCACUCCACCACCUGCAACCCCACCGCCAGCAACUCCUCCUCCUGCUACCCCACCACCAGCUCCAUUGGCUUCUCCUCCAGCCACAGUCCCAGCUAUCUCUCCAGUACAAACACCAUUGACAUCGCCACCAGCUCCGCCGACCGAGGCCCCAGCACCUACCCUCGGGGCUGCUACGCCAGGUCCAGCUGGAACUGACACGGUACAUUUUCUCUUAUUCCACCAUUUUAUAUCCUUCUUCUCCACCUACGAUCAAGCUUUAUUAUCGGUUGAAAUUUAAGCCUUUACAGCAAGACUUAAAAUAUAAUUUUAUUAAUGGUUUUAUAAUAUUAAAUUAUAAUUUUAUCAUUCUUACACAUUAAUAUAUAAUGUGAUAAAAUUUUUUACUUUGGGUACCGUGCCAACUUCCUAACGUCGCCCUUAAUCUUACAUAAACAACGAUCUGAGCUUGUCUCGAUAUUAGCUAACCCUUAAGCCAUUAGAGAUGGCUAUUGGUUCCGUCUCGACAUACCUUCAACAUAAUCUGAUUUAAAAUUAAAUACUUAUAUCUAUUUUUUAACACAAUAUUUAAAAUUAUCUAUAAUUUCUUCUCAACUUAUAAUUAAAAUAACAAUACUUCAGCGUAUUCAAAUUUACGUACCUAUGUUAAUCUAAUUUGACAAUAAUAUUUAUGUUAAUUGAAUUAAAGCUUGAGAUAUUAAAUUUAAUUAAGA
RNAcentral lists this long non-coding RNA (20389 nucleotides) under Gossypium barbadense (sea-island cotton). Its description in RNAcentral is "long non-coding RNA (GBAR_LNC014573)". Lineage: Eukaryota; Viridiplantae; Streptophyta; Magnoliopsida; Malvales; Malvaceae. The record is from RNAcentral.